This 235-nucleotide ribosomal RNA is filed under the name uncultured bacterium. RNAcentral describes it as "partial 16S ribosomal RNA". It matches the Rfam family "Bacterial small subunit ribosomal RNA", at positions 96 to 334 of the family's 1533-position model. The record is from RNAcentral.
UGGCGGACGGGUGAGUAAUGUCUGGGAAACUGCCCGAUGGAGGGGGAUAACUACUGGAAACGGUAGCUAAUACCGCAUAACGUCGCAAGACCAAAGAGGGGGACCUUAGGGCCUCUUGCCAUCGGAUGUGCCCAGAUGGGAUUAGCUAGUAGGUGGGGUAAUGGCUCACCUAGGCGACGAUCCCUAGCUGGUCUGAGAGGAUGACCAGCCACACUGGAACUGAAACACGGUCCAG